Molecule: ribosomal RNA, 595 nt
Filed under: uncultured bacterium
Lineage: Bacteria
Description: bacterial SSU rRNA
Rfam family: Bacterial small subunit ribosomal RNA
Source: RNAcentral
CCUACGGGAGGCAGCAGUGGGGAAUAUUGGACAAUGGGCGGAAGCCUGAUCCAGCCAUGCCGCGUGUGUGAAGAAGGCCUUUUGGUUGUAAAGCACUUUAAGCGAGGAGGAGGCUACUAGUAUUAAUACUACUGGAUAGUGGACGUUACUCGCAGAAUAAGCACCGGCUAACUCUGUGCCAGCAGCCGCGGUAAUACAGAGGGUGCGAGCGUUAAUCGGAUUUACUGGGCGUAAAGCGUGCGUAGGCGGCUGAUUAAGUCGGAUGUGAAAUCCCUGAGCUUAACUUAGGAAUUGCAUUCGAUACUGGUCAGCUAGAGUAUGGGAGAGGAUGGUAGAAUUCCAGGUGUAGCGGUAGAAAUGCGUAGAGAUCUGGAGGAAUACCGAUGGCGAAGGCAGCCAUCUGGCCUAAUACUGACGCUGAGGUACGAAAGCAUGGGGAGCAAACAGGAUUAGAUACCCUGGUAGUCCAUGCCGUAAACGAUGUCUACUAGCCGUUGGGGUCUUUGAGACUUUAGUGGCGCAGCUAACGCGAUAAGUAGACCCGCCGUGGGGAGUACGGUCGCGAAGACUAAAACCGUUAAAGGGAAUUGGACGG